AUAUAUAUAUAUAUAAAAUAUGAUCAUAAAUUAUUUAGUAACAUUACCAAAAAAACUAUACUAACAUUAUAAUAUAAUCCUAAGGAUUCACGCAUAUUUUUCUUGUGGAUUUUAUAUAUAAGUCUUGUUAGACUAUAUAUUGAGUCUAAUACAACAGAGCUAGGAUUUCAAGUUUGAGGGGAUAAAAAUAAAAAAUUCAAUUUUUGAGAGAGUAAAAUUAUAAAAUUUUUAAAAAGUCAAGGGUAAAAUUAUAAAUAUUUAAAAUAAAACAAGGAAAAAUUGAUAAAAUUUUGAAAUUUCGGGGCCCUCCCUCCGCCUCUGGAGUCUAAUAGAUCUAUACAGGAGAGGAUUGUUGAUUUGUUGCUCAUUAAAAUUAAUGAGUAAAAGUUUUUCAAAAACAAAAUGCCUUGAAAAACAAACAAGCAUAAAUCCCUCUAGAGACGAAACACUUGAAUCUCUUUUGAAGUACUCGCAUCUUGAUCUAAAAUUUAAUUUCUUUUGGAGUUGAGGGAUUUGAAUUGUUUUUAAGGUAUGUGUAUAUUGAUCUAUAAUUUUCUUGUGGAAGAUUUUUUAUUUUUAUAUUAUAUAACAAUUGUUGUUAUUGAAUCAAAAAAUAAAAUUCCACAUUCACGAUAGAGAGAAUCUAACUUAUAUAUUGUAAUCCCAAUUUCUAAUUAUAUUGCAUUGUAAAUUACCAAACGUCACCUAAGCGUCCACACCUCUACCUUUUAUUUCCCUUCUUGUUACGAUAGCAUCCACCUACAUGAUUAAUGAUUAAUGCUUAGUAAUUAGUGAUGUUUGGGCAUUAAGUUGAUUUAUCUCCUUUUUCCUCUACUUUUAAAUAAUGGUAAUUUCAAAACGAAUUUUGAAUAAUCCAAUUGCAUCUACCCAUAAAAGGAAAUAUAAUGGUGUAUAGUAUUUUCUUUCUUUUUCUUUUUUUUUUUUUGGUUUUUUGAAAGAGCACUUACCUAACUUGUUGGUAGUAAUGUGAUUGCAGAGAAGAUAACAUUACAGUGUUUAGUAAAUAAGUAAAGUAAUAAUUAAAAUGCAUAGAAGAUAAUAUUGCAGUAUUUGGUUUAUAGGUACUUUGUUGGAAAUAUGAUGUUAAUUUUUAGAAUUAUCCCUAUUUAUUAAAGUACAAGUUUAAUAUACUUGUAUUUUUUAUUAUUAAUUUUUAUAUAAUAUCAUCUCUUAAAUAUAUUUUUAAUGUCAUAUAUUUUAUUUUUAUUUCUUAUUAUUCUCUUAUAUAUUUUAUUUUUGUUUCUUAAUAUAAUUUUUUUAUAUUAUAUAUUUUAUUUUAAUUUCUUUUCUCUUUAAAAGAUAAUAUAAAUUUUAUUAAUAAUUACCAUGACUAUUGAGAAUAAUAAAAAGAUAUCCCUUGAAAUUUAUAUAUAAAAAACAAAUUAUAACAUUAUAAAAUAUUUUUAACAAAUUAAUAAAGUUGAAAGAUAAAAAUGUUUUAAAACAAUUGCAGAGUGUAAUGCAAUCUGAUUGCAUUGGUUUUGGAUUGCAAUUACAUUACAUUUAUUGACUGUAAUGUGAUUGCAUUACAAUCUUACAUUAUAGGGAUUUAUUGCAAAACAAACACUGUAAUAUAAUUUAAUUGAAUACAUUACCGAAAAUGUACUCUCACUUCCCUUAUACUAAAUAAUAUCCUAAAGUCAAACUAUUCUUAUACCAAACAUUAUCCUAAAACUAAAUAAUCCUUAUCUCGUAAAUUUCAUUAAUAUGUGAUGGGAAAAAGAUUAAAUGAAAGAAAAAUGAAAAAUUAAUUACAUUCAAAGUGUCCACACCUCUACCUUUUAUUUCCCUUCUUGUUACGAUAGCAUCCACCUACGUGAUUAAUGAUUAAUGCUUAGUAAUUAGUGAUGUUUGGGCAUUAAGUUGAUUUAUCUCCUUUUUCCUCUACUUUUAAAUAAUGGUAAUUUUCAAAAUGAAUUUUGAAUAAUCCAAUUGCAUCUACCCAUAAAAGGAAAUAUAGUGGUAUAUAGUAUUUUCUUUUUUUUUUUUUGGUUUUUUUGAAAAAGCACUUACCUAGCUUAUUGGUAGUAAUGUGAUUGCAGAGAAGAUAACAUUACAGUAUUUAGUAAAUAAGUAAAGUAAUGAUUAAAAUGCAUAGAAGAUAAUAUUGCAGCAUUUGGUUUAUAGGUACUUUGCUGGGAAUAUGAUGUUAAUUUUUAGAAUUAUCCCUAUUUAUUAUAAUACAAGUUUAAUAUACUUGUAUUUUUUUAUUAUUAAUUUUUAUAUAAUAUCAUCUCUUAAAUAUAUUUUUAAUGUCAUAUAUUUUAUUUUUAUUUCUUAUUAU
RNAcentral lists this long non-coding RNA (2305 nucleotides) under Theobroma cacao (cacao). RNAcentral's name for it is "long non-coding RNA (TCAC_LNC000849)". Lineage: Eukaryota; Viridiplantae; Streptophyta; Magnoliopsida; Malvales; Malvaceae. The record is from RNAcentral.